This is a long non-coding RNA of Oncorhynchus keta (chum salmon), 980 nucleotides long. RefSeq lists it as uncharacterized. The transcript is spliced from 4 exons. NCBI's taxonomy places the organism in Eukaryota, Metazoa, Chordata, Actinopteri, Salmoniformes, Salmonidae. The record is from RefSeq and is a predicted model, not a curated record.
AGCACUGACCAAAAGGUUUCCAAAUCUCCAUAGCGUAUAUCCAUACUUGAUGCCAAGGCUCCCUGAGCACUGACCAAAAGGUUUCCAAAUCUCCAUAGCGUAUAUCCAUACUUGAUGCCAAGGCUCCCUGAGCACUGACCAAAAGGUUUCCAAAUCUCCAUAGCGUAUAUCCAUACUUGAUGCCAAGGCUCCCUGAGCACUGACCAAAAGGUUUCCAAAUCUCCAUAGUGUAUAUCCAUACUUGAUGCCAAGGCUCCCUGAGCACUGACCAAAAGGUUUCCAAAUCUCCAUAGUGUAUAUCCAUACUUGAUGCCAAGGCUCCCUGAGCACUGACCAAAAGGUUUCCAAAUCUCCAUAGUGUAUAUCCUUGAUGCCAAGGCUCCCUGAGCACUGACCAAAAGGUUUCCAAAUCUCCAUAGUGUAUAUCCAUACUUGAUGCCAAGGCUCCCUGAGCACUGACCAAAAGGUUUCCAAAUCUCCAUAGUGUAUAUCCAUACUUGAUGCCAAGGCUCCCUGAGCACUGACCAAAAGGUUUCCAAAUCUCCAUAGUGUAUAUCCAUACUUGAUGCCAAGGCUCCCUGAGCACUGACCAAAAGGUUUCCAAAUCUCCAUAGUGUAUAUCCAUACUUGAUGCCAAGGCUCCCUGAGCACUGACCAAAAGGUUUCCAAAUCUCCAUAGUGUAUAUCCAUACUUGAUGCCAAGGCUCCCUGAGCACUGACCAAAAGGUUUCCAAAUCUCCAUAGUGUAUAUCCAUACUUGAUGCCAAGGCUCCCUGAGCACUGACCAAAAGGUUUCCAAAUCUCCAUAGUGUAUAUCCAUACUUGAUGCCAAGGCUCCCUGAGCACUGACCAAAAGGUUUCCAAAUCUCCAUAGUGUAUAUCCAUACUUGAUGCCAAGGCUCCCUGAGCACUGACCAAAAGGUUUCCAAAUCUCCAUAGUGUAUAUCCAUACUUGAUGCCAAGGCUCCCUGAGCACUGAC